This 851-nucleotide ribosomal RNA is filed under the name uncultured archaeon. Its description in RNAcentral is "bacterial SSU rRNA". It matches the Rfam family "Archaeal small subunit ribosomal RNA", at positions 23 to 860 of the family's 1478-position model. The record is from RNAcentral.
CCGACUGCUAUUUGGGUGAGGAUAAGCCAUGCGAGUCGAAUGGGAUACCUAAACUUCCCAUGGCAAACUGCUCAUUAACACAUGAUCAACUUACCCUAUGGAGAGAAACAACCUCGGGAAACUGAGGAUAAUUUCUCAUAGUUGAAUAGGCUUGGAAAAGUUUUUCAAUGAAACGGGUAAGAUAAAUGGUUUUUAUCCGCCAUAGGGUAGGAUCGUGGUCGUUUAUGGUUGUUGGUAAGGUAACGGCUUACCAAGCCGAUAAUCGAUAGGGGCCGUGAGAGCGGGAGCCCCGAGAUGGGUACUGAGACAGCGACCCAGGCCUUACGAGGCGCAGCAGGCGCAAAACCUCCGCAAUACUCGAAAGUGUGACGGGGUUACCCAAAGUGUCCUUAUUGGACUGUGGUAGGUGAGUAAUGUUCCCUACUAGAAAGGAGAGGGCAAGGCUGGUGCCAGCCGCCGCGGUAAAACCAGCUCUUCAAGUGGUCGGGAUAAUUAUUGGGCUUAAAGUGUCCGUAGCCGGUUUAGUAAGUUCCUGGUAAAAUCGGGUAGCUUAACUGUCCGUAUGCUAGGAAUACUGCUAUACUAGAGGGCGGGAGAGGUCUGAGGUACUACAGGGGUAGGGGUGAAAUCUUAUAAUCCUUGUAGGACCACCAGUGGCGAAGGCGUCAGACUGGAACGCGCCUGACGGUGAGGGACGAAAGCCAGGGGAGCGAACCGGAUUAGAUACCCGGGUAGUCCUGGCCGUAAACGAUGCAUACUAGGUGAUGGCACGGCCAUGAGCCGUGUCAGUGCCGUAGGGAAACCGUUAAGUGUGCCGCCUGGGAAGUACGGUCGCAAGGCUAAAACUUAAA